This 506-nucleotide long non-coding RNA is filed under the name Olea europaea subsp. europaea. The record is from RNAcentral. Lineage: Eukaryota; Viridiplantae; Streptophyta; Magnoliopsida; Lamiales; Oleaceae.
CCUGGAACAACUUCACUGUAUCUUCCUUUGUUACCCAGUGCUGGAUUCCAACACGAGAUUUGCACCUAUGACAAUGUCCCACACGAUAACCAGGGCGCUCCAAGACAACAUAUAAAGCCAUACCAUGAAUACCAGUUGAUGGGUCGUACUUGUAAAGAAUAGUGAAUAAACCCAAUGUAAAUGAACUUAUAAACAGCCUCGUUUAAAAAGCCUUUAAGAAUACUGUAGUUGAUUAUCCUUGUGAAUAUCUGUUUUAACAAAUCAGUUUUGCACAUAACAUAGUGCAACGAACUAUCCAACGAAACAAGGGUUUUUGGGAACCUGCAAAAAGAUCUAAUGACAAGAAACAGUAAGCCACCUUAAUUAUCCACAUGAAGUAAAAAUUCAAAGCAACUAACGAUUUAAUGCAAAUUAGAUUCCGCAUCAUUGCAUUCAGGGCGUGUGGACAGGGGGGAUAGAAUGUGAAGUCAGAUGUUCUAAUCCAAAUAAAUAUACAAAUAUAUCUC